AUAUUUUUGAUGGUGGAACGUAUACCAAUACCAGCUUGUCAGUGAUUUAAUAUCUGAUACGUUCCCUAUCUGGGGACCAUAUAUUAAAUGGAUUUUUUGAACAGGGAGAUGGAAAAAGAGUUUGCUCUGUCCACUCCAUGCAUUGACCUGGUACUGCAGUAUCUCCAGGAGCGGCGCACUCCUU
Bufo bufo (common toad) is the source of this 184-nucleotide small nuclear RNA. RefSeq annotates it as U2 spliceosomal RNA. The record is from RefSeq and is a predicted model, not a curated record. The transcript has a single exon. Lineage: Eukaryota; Metazoa; Chordata; Amphibia; Anura; Bufonidae.